AGAUGAAUGUAACUGCUGGUAGAAGAUUAGCCAUAGCAGAAGCAAAUGUUGCAGAUGUUAAGACUAAACUUUCUGCAUACAAAUUUUGAGAUAACGAUGCCCCAAACAAUCCGCAAAGAAAAGAUUGGAAGGUUACUAUCCACGUAAGUUGAGGCCUAUUUUUUCUCUCAAAGAAAAGAGCAAGAGGAAUCAUAAAAAUAGUUGCAAAUAUGUAUCUGUAGGCGACAAUGAUCCUCACGCUCAUUCCAUCACUGGCUGCAAGU
Molecule: unclassified non-coding RNA, 263 nt
Filed under: Hevea brasiliensis (rubber tree)
Lineage: Eukaryota; Viridiplantae; Streptophyta; Magnoliopsida; Malpighiales; Euphorbiaceae
Source: RNAcentral